Long non-coding RNA from Chionomys nivalis (European snow vole), 375 nucleotides. RefSeq lists it as uncharacterized. The record is from RefSeq and is a predicted model, not a curated record. The transcript has 3 exons. NCBI's taxonomy places the organism in Eukaryota, Metazoa, Chordata, Mammalia, Rodentia, Cricetidae.
GGACAAUGACAAUUUUCUGAAGGGUAUGACCACUAAUUUUAAUUUAAAAUUUGUAAAUUAUUGCAUAUGAAUUAUGAAAGUACAUGUACAUCAAAUAAAAGAAAUAAGAAACCUGACAAAGAGCACAUGCAAUGGAAUGAAUUUUUCAAAGGAAGCAGUGAAGGUUUCUUCAAAAAUUCCUCAGCCCCCUCUGCUGGCCAUACUGGAGAAUAACAGGAUGUUAUGGACACCAAGAUCUUAUUUCUGCUAUGUGCAAGACUGUGUGAAGACAGUGUCCUGAUAGUACCACAGAGUAAGGAGACCGAUGUGGACUGGGCUUCUACCUUCAUCACUUCCCACCUGUGAAACCUUGGAUCUCUGUGAACCUCAUUUAUC